RNAcentral lists this ribosomal RNA (1329 nucleotides) under uncultured bacterium. RNAcentral describes it as "bacterial SSU rRNA". It matches the Rfam family "Bacterial small subunit ribosomal RNA", at positions 38 to 1387 of the family's 1533-position model. The record is from RNAcentral.
GGCGGCGCGCCUAACACAUGCAAGUCGAACGAGAGAGAGGGAGCUUGCUUCCUCAAUCGAGUGGCGAACGGGUGAGUAACGCGUGAGGAACCUGCCUCAAAGAGGGGGACAACAGUUGGAAACGACUGCUAAUACCGCAUAAGCCCACGACCCGGCAUCGGGAAGAGGGAAAAGGAGCAAUCCGCUUUGAGAUGGCCUCGCGUCCGAUUAGCUAGUUGGUGAGGUAACGGCCCACCAAGGCGACGAUCGGCAGCCGGACUGAGAGGUUGAACGGCCACAUUGGGACUGAGACACGGCCCAGACUCCUACGGGAGGCAGCAGUGGGGAAUAUUGCACAAUGGGGGAAACCCUGAUGCAGCGACGCCGCGUGGAGGAAGAAGGUCUUCGGAUUGUAAACUCCUGUUGUUGAGGAAGAUAAUGACGGUACUCAACAAGGAAGUGACGGCUAACUACGUGCCAGCAGCCGCGGUAAAACGUAGGUCACAAGCGUUGUCCGGAAUUACUGGGUGUAAAGGGAGCGCAGGCGGGCGAUCAAGUUGGAAGUGAAAUCCAUGGGCUCAACCCAUGAACUGCUUUCAAAACUGGUCGUCUUGAGUAGUGCAGAGGUAGGCGGAAUUCUCGGUGUAGCGGUGGAAUGCGUAGAUAUCGGGAGGAACACCAGUGGCGAAGGCGGCCUACUGGGCACCAACUGACGCUGAGGCUCGAAAGUGUGGGUAGCAAACAGGAUUAGAUACCCUGGUAGUCCACACCGUAAACGAUGAUUAUUAGGUGUGGGGGAAUUGACCCUUUCAGUGCGGCAGUUAACACAAUAAGUAAUCCACCUGGGGAGUACGACCGCAAGGUUGAAACUCAAAAGGAAUUGACGGGGGCCCGCACAAGCAGUGGAGUAUGUGGUUUAAUUCGACGCAACGCGAAGAACCUUACCAAGUCUUGACAUCCCUUGACGAUGCUGGAAACAGUAUUUCUCUUCGGAGCAAGGAGACAGGUGGUGCAUGGUUGUCGUCAGCUCGUGUCGUGAGAUGUUGGGUUAAGUCCCGCAACGAGCGCAACCCUUAUGGUCAGUUACUACGCAAGAGGACUCUGGCCAGACUGCCGUUGACAAAACGGAGGAAGGUGGGGAGGACGUCAAAUCAUCAUGCCCUUUAUGACUUGGGCUACACACGUUCUACAAUGGCGUUAAACAAAGAGAAGCAAGACCGCGAGGUGGAGCAAAACUCAGAAACAACGUCCCAGUUCGGACUGCAGGCUGCAACUCGCCUGCACGAAGUCGGAAUUGCUAGUAAUCGUGGAUCAGCAUGCCACGGUGAAUACGUUCCCGGGCCUUGUACU